AGUCAUAAUCAAGUUACGCGAGGAGCAUCGAUGCAGACGUGCCAAUUGCACAAAUCAAGGGAUCGUGUAGAGUGGGUCUUGAUCUGUAAGUGGUAGAGCGAACAGUCCGGCUGCCUCCCGAAACUGUCUUACAUGUCCCCCAACAGCCUGAAGGCCGAAUUACAACCCUUGAUUAUCUACACUUGUUGCUUUUCGGGGAUGCUCAAGUGCCCCGAGAGGACCCAACUCUCUUGCCAUUUUCAGUGACGUCUGAGUACUAUAUAAUAUUUUGAAAAGC
This 277-nucleotide unclassified non-coding RNA is filed under the name plant metagenome. RNAcentral's name for it is "partial contains small subunit ribosomal RNA and internal transcribed spacer 1". The record is from RNAcentral.